GAUGAACGCUGGCGGCGUGCCUAAUACAUGCAAGUCGAGCGAACGGACGAGAAGCUUGCUUUUCUGAUGUUAGCGGCGGACGGGUGAGUAACACGUGGAUAACCUACCUAUAAGACUGGGAUAACUUCGGGAAACCGGAGCUAAUACCGGAUAAUAUUUUGAACCGCAUGGUUCAAAAGUGAAAGACGGUCUUGCUGUCACUUAUAGAUGGAUCCGCGCUGCAUUAGCUAGUUGGUAAGGUAACGGCUUACCAAGGCAACGAUGCAUAGCCGACCUGAGAGGGUGAUCGGCCACGCUGGAACUGAGACACGGUCCAAACUCCUACGGGAGGCAGCAGUAGGGACUCUUCCGCAAUGGGCGAAAGCCUGACGGAGCAACGCCGCGUGAGUGAUGAAGGUCUUCGGAUCGUAAAACUCUGUUAUUAGGGAAGAACAUAUGUGUAAGUACCUGUGCACAUCUUGACGGUACCUAAUCAGAAAGCCACGGCUAACUACGU
Molecule: ribosomal RNA, 496 nt
Filed under: uncultured bacterium
Lineage: Bacteria
Description: partial 16S ribosomal RNA
Rfam family: Bacterial small subunit ribosomal RNA
Source: RNAcentral